Long non-coding RNA from Clupea harengus (Atlantic herring), 1554 nucleotides. The record is from Ensembl. NCBI's taxonomy places the organism in Eukaryota, Metazoa, Chordata, Actinopteri, Clupeiformes, Clupeidae.
ACACUACACACUACACUACACUACACUACACUACACUACACUACACACUACACUACACACACACUACACUACACUACACUACACUACACUACACCACACCACACCACACUACACUACACACUACACUACACUAUACUACACUACACUACACACUACACACUACACUACACAACACUACACUACACACACUACACCAAACUACACUACACACACACUACACUACACUACACUACACCACACUACACUACACUACACUACACUACACACUACACUACACUACACUACACACACUACACCACACUACACUACACACACACUACACCACACCACACUACACACUACACUACACUACACUACACUACACACACACUACACUACACUACACACUACACUACACUACACACUACACUACACACACACUACACCCACACUACACUACACUACACACUACACACUACACUACACUACACACACUACACUACACUACACUACACUACACACACACUACACUACACCACACCACACCACACUACACUACACUACACCACACUACACCAGACUACACUACACUACACUACACUACACACACACACACUACACACACACUACACUACACUACACUACACUACACUACACACACUACACUACACUACACCACACACUACACUACACCACACUACACUACACUACACUACACCACACUACACUACACCACACUACACUACACCACACCACACCACACCCCACUACACUACACUACACACUACACACUACACUACACUACACUACACUACACCACACUACACACACGCUGCACCACACCGAGUUGAAGGGGGGAGGGAGUGAGGGAGGGAGAGAAAGAGAGAGACAGAGGGAGGGAUGGAGAGAAAGAGACAGAGGGAUGGAGAGAAAGAGGGCUGGGGAUUGGGGAUGGAUGCUUGCUUCUAAUAUUCUCCCCCUUUGCAUCUUUAGAUUUGGAGUGACUGACUGGAGUCAUUUAGUGGGCCAUAUGCUGAGAGAGGUUGGGUGCAUUACCUCUUUGACUUUGGAGUUUUUUACCUUUAGCUGUCUUUGAUCAUUGAUUCUAGCCUUAUGGGCACACGCACACACACACACACACACACACACACACACACGCACACACACACACACACACACACACACACACACACACUUGCAUGUAUACUCUCAUACGCUCAUACGGUUUAGGAAUGUCCACGAGGCAGGAGGUUUAGGAAUGUCAUGAGGCAGGAGGUUUAGGAAUGUCCACGAGGCAGGAGGUUUAGGAAUGUCAUGAGGCAGGAGGUUUAGGAAUGUCCACGAGGCAGGAGGUUUAGGAAUGUCAUGAGGCAGGAGGUUUAGGAAUGUCCACGAGGCAGGAGGUUUAUGAAUGUCAUGAGGCAGGAGGUUUAGGAAUAUCCACGAGGAAGGAGGUUUAGGAAUGUCCACGAGGCAGGAGGUUUAGGAAUAUCAUGAGGAAGGAGGUUUAGGAAUAUCAUGAGGAAGGAGGUUUAGGAAUGUCAUGAGGCAGGAGGUUUAGGAAUAUCAUGAGGC